Long non-coding RNA from Oncorhynchus keta (chum salmon), 572 nucleotides. RefSeq lists it as uncharacterized. The transcript has 3 exons. NCBI's taxonomy places the organism in Eukaryota, Metazoa, Chordata, Actinopteri, Salmoniformes, Salmonidae. The record is from RefSeq and is a predicted model, not a curated record.
CAUACACACUACUGGGCCCUGUUUCAGAAAGCAAGUUAAACAAACUCUUGAGUUUAAACCUGAACUCUGGGUUGACUAACUCUGAGCUGUCAAAGGUUUUCGGGUUUCAGAACAGGUGAUAACAAUUAGUUCAAUCAACUCUGAGUUAAGUUAACCCUGAGUAAAGCACGAGGAUAUAUAAAAAGCCUUCAAAGGAACGCAGAUAACAAGAUUCAUCAUGGCAACAGGAGAAAAAAAGGGCUCGAGCCUCUUACUUCUCCCCAGUGGAGUUAGAAAUAUUAAUGAAUCCGUGUGCAGAAUAUGAGUAUAUAUUUAAGAAAAACAGCAAUGCAGCAGAAGAACGUGAGCUGGCGUGGCAGAAAGUUGCUGACCGAGUCUAUGCGUGCAAACCAACAGGCACAAAACGUACUUGGCGGCAACUGAAGAUGAAAUAUAAAAAUAGACUUCAAACGGCCAAUAGAAAAAAGGCUGAGGGACGAAAAACAAGUGGGGGUCCACCACCACUCAGAGGCUGAAGAGAUGGCCCUCAGUCAAAACAGUGGGCGACCUAUUCCUGAAGGCAUCUCUGUAGG